RNAcentral lists this ribosomal RNA (498 nucleotides) under uncultured bacterium. RNAcentral's name for it is "partial 16S ribosomal RNA". It matches the Rfam family "Bacterial small subunit ribosomal RNA", at positions 28 to 507 of the family's 1533-position model. The record is from RNAcentral.
GACGAACGCUGGCGGCGUGCCUAAUACAUGCAAGUCGAACGAGAGCGACCGGUGCUUGCACUGGUCAAUCUAGUGGCGAACGGGUGAGUAACACGUGGGUAACCUGCCCAUCAGAGGGGGAUAACAUCCGGAAACGGAUGCUAAAACCGCAUAGGUCUUCGAGCCGCAUGGCUUGAAGAGGAAAAGAGGCGCAAGCUUCUGCUGAUGGAUGGACCCGCGGUGCAUUAGCUAGUUGGGGAGGUAACGGCUCACCAAGGCCGUGAUGCAUAGCCGACCUGAGAGGGUGAUCGGCCACAUUGGGACUGAGACACGGCCCAAACUCCUACGGGAGGCAGCAGUAGGGAAUCUUCCGCAAUGGACGCAAGUCUGACGGAGCAACGCCGCGUGAGUGAAGAAGGUUUUCGGAUCGUAAAACUCUGUUGUUAGAGAAGAACAAGUGCUAGAGUAACUGUUAGCGCCUUGACGGUAUCUAACCAGAAAGCCACGGCUAACUACGUG